CAAUAGCGUAUAUUUAAGUUGUUGCAAGUUAAAAAGCUCGUAGUUGGUAUUUUGGGUGCGGCAGGCCGGUCCGCUGUUUCAGUGUGCACUGGCAGGCUGCAUCUUUCUGUCGAGGACGCGCUCCUGGCCUUCAUUGAUCGGGACGUGGAGUCGGCGAAGUUACUUUAGAAAAAUUAGAGUGUUCAAAGCGGGCCUACGCUUGAAUAUAUUAGCAUGGAAUAACACUAUAGGACUCCUCGUCCUAUUUUGUUGGUCUUCGGGAGUGGGAGUAAUGAUUAAGAGGAACAGUUGGGGGCGAUUCGUAUUUCAUUGUCAGAGGUGAAAUUCUUGG
This 331-nucleotide ribosomal RNA is filed under the name uncultured eukaryote. RNAcentral's name for it is "bacterial SSU rRNA". It matches the Rfam family "Eukaryotic small subunit ribosomal RNA", at positions 592 to 923 of the family's 1831-position model. The record is from RNAcentral.